RNAcentral lists this small RNA (386 nucleotides) under Pan troglodytes (chimpanzee). RNAcentral's name for it is "processed transcript". The record is from RNAcentral. Lineage: Eukaryota; Metazoa; Chordata; Mammalia; Primates; Hominidae.
GGUGCAUAUUAGCUUAAGAACUUUUAAACCUCUGCGGCAGUAAUGAGAAUCUGCAUGCCAGGGGCCCAGCAUUUCUCUACAAAGCAGCCCAUGAGUGCAUGUGUGUUUGCUGUAGUGAGGGGUCUAUGUUAGAAGCUGCGGGGUAUUGAAUUUGAGGCUGCUCUCAGCAUUACUGCUCAUCUCAAAGAGGAACAAAUGGUCCCCCAAAUGGUCCAGAUGCGACAGUAGGGAAAGGAGUACCACCAUUCAUUCUGAGGUGCCUGGGCCAUACUCUGGAUGAAGCUCACAGCUGUAACGUAAGGCGGUCUCUGUGUUCCAGAUUUUUUUUUGUAACUAUGAAAUCCUUGCCUUGUAGUCAACUUAAAAUGAAAUAAAUUUAUCAGUGC